AGAGUUUGAUCCUGGCUCAGAGCGAACGCUGGCGGCGUGCUUAACACAUGCAAGUCGAGUGCGCAGCUUUCUGUAGCAAUACAGGGAGUGGGCGCACGGCGCACGGGUGAGUAACACGUGGGUAACCUGCCCUUGGAUGGGGAAUAACCCCGCGAAAGCGGGGCUAAUACCGCAUAACAUUCCGGAGACCUUGGUUUCCGGACUCAAAGCCGUAAGGCGUCCGAGGAGUGGCCCGCGUACGAUUAGCUAGUUGGCGAGGUAAUGGCUCACCAAGGCUUUGAUCGUUAGCCGGUCUGAGAGGAUGGCCGGCCACACUGGAACUGAGACACGGCCCAGACUCCUACGGGAGGCAGCAGUAGGGAAUCUUGCGCAAUGGGCGAAAGCCUGACGCAGCCAUGCCGCGUGAAUGAUGAAGGUCUUAGGAUUGUAAAAUUCUUUCAGCGGGGACGAUAAUGACGGUACCCGCAGAAGAAGCCCCGGCUAACUUCGUGCCAGCAGCCGCGGUAAU
Molecule: ribosomal RNA, 508 nt
Filed under: uncultured soil bacterium
Lineage: Bacteria
Description: bacterial SSU rRNA
Rfam family: Bacterial small subunit ribosomal RNA
Source: RNAcentral